This 437-nucleotide ribosomal RNA is filed under the name uncultured Lachnospiraceae bacterium. RNAcentral describes it as "partial 16S ribosomal RNA". It matches the Rfam family "Bacterial small subunit ribosomal RNA", at positions 341 to 792 of the family's 1533-position model. The record is from RNAcentral. Lineage: Bacteria; Bacillati; Bacillota; Clostridia; Lachnospirales; Lachnospiraceae.
ACGGGAGGCAGCAGUGGGGAAUAUUGGGCAAUGGGCGAAAGCCUGACCCAGCGACGCCGCGUGAGGGAAGAAGAUCUUCGGAUUGUAAACCUUAGUCAACAGGGAAGAAGCAAGUGACGGUACCUGUGGAGGAAGCCACGGCUAACUACGUGCCAGCAGCCGCGGUAAUACGUAGGUGGCGAGCGUUAUCCGGAUUUACUGGGUGUAAAGGGAGCGUAGACGGCAAUGCAAGUCUGAAGUGAAAGCCCGCGGCUUAACUGCGGGACUGCUUUGGAAACUGUAUGGCUAGAGUGUCGGAGAGGUGAGUGGAAUUCCCAGUGUAGCGGUGAAAUGCGUAGAUAUUGGGAGGAACACCGGAGGCGAAGGCGGCUCACUGGACGAUUACUGACGUUGAGGCUCGAAAGCGUGGGGAGCAAACAGGAUUAGAUACCCUGGUA